This 695-nucleotide long non-coding RNA is filed under the name Triticum aestivum (bread wheat). Its description in RNAcentral is "long non-coding RNA (TAES_LNC023107)". Lineage: Eukaryota; Viridiplantae; Streptophyta; Magnoliopsida; Poales; Poaceae. The record is from RNAcentral.
UUUGCUCACGGAGCUCAUUAAAAUCGGCAGUUUGAUGGACUUCCACGGUGCCGCUGUCGAGUGCCUUCUGAAAUCAAAAAAUCUGCAGCUGUUCCCUGAAGACGAUGAAUUCCUUAACACUGCAUCGCUAGGUAUGUGACUGAUAAACAAAAAAUUUCUCAUCUUAUGAGUCUGAAAGUAUUUACCUCCUUAUGCAGUUGUCUCCAACUCUUUGACGCUUGUAUGCAUGCAGGUCGUAGCAGGAACUGUUAGUGAUCUCUGGAGUUGCUCUUGCGCAUGCCAACACAUGGGAGUGAAGUGGUGAGUGCAUUGCUUGUUUGUUUUUCUGUAGAAGUUGUAUCACCUCUGUAAUUGUGAUGGAAGCUUAUGUAGUAAGCUCACUUUACAGGUUACUUGCUGAUGGCCAGGUCUGCAGGAGCUUAAUUGGUGCUUAAAUCUGGAGGGCGCCUACUCGAUUAUCUUGUGCAUAUGUUUUGUCGCGAUUACUAGCUGUGAACUUUUGUUUUGGUUUUCUCCUUUUAUGAACCGGAACUUGUCUGUGUUUUUCAGUGUGAAAUGACCCUCGUACGUACUGGUGCGUUAUCCUUUCAUGUCUUGUGACCAUCUAUUAUAUCUUGUUAUUUAGCAUGAAUAUAUGUUGGACCAUGUGUGAGCUUGAUUGUGGUGGCCUGCUAAAUGAAAGAUGUCUGGUUGCC